CGUAGGGUGCGAGCGUUAAUCGGAAUUACUGGGCGUAAAGCGUGCGCAGGCGGUUUUGUAAGACAGAUGUGAAAUCCCCGGGCUCAACCUGGGACCUGCAUUUGUGACUGCAAGGCUAGAGUACGGUAGAGGGGGAUGGAAUUCCGCGUGUAGCAGUGAAAUGCGUAGAUAUGCGGAGGAACACCGAUGGCGAAGGCAAUCCCCUGGACCUGUACUGACGCUCAUGCACGAAAGCGUGGGGAGCAAACAGGAUUAGAUACCCUGGUAGUCCACGCCCUAAACGAUGUCAACUGGUUGUUGAGUCUUUACUGACUCAGUAACGAAGCUAACGCGUGAAGUUGACCGCCUGGGGAGUACGGCCGCAAGGUUG
This 370-nucleotide ribosomal RNA is filed under the name uncultured organism. RNAcentral's name for it is "bacterial SSU rRNA". It matches the Rfam family "Bacterial small subunit ribosomal RNA", at positions 526 to 896 of the family's 1533-position model. The record is from RNAcentral.